AGGGGGAGGCCGGAUCUUGGGCUGUGUCCCCAGCUCCCUGUCUUCCCAGGCCUGUGCUGUUGGAUUCGCCCUCCUGGCCGGCAGCCCCCU
Molecule: microRNA precursor, 90 nt
Filed under: Canis lupus familiaris (dog)
Lineage: Eukaryota; Metazoa; Chordata; Mammalia; Carnivora; Canidae
Also listed under: 1 other name
Description: mir-8799 microRNA precursor family
Rfam family: mir-8799 microRNA precursor family
Source: Rfam by way of RNAcentral